AGUCGAGCGGUAGCACAGAGAGCUUGCUCUCGGGUGACGAGCGGCGGACGGGUGAGUAAUGUCUGGGAAACUGCCUGAUGGAGGGGGAUAACUACUGGAAACGGUAGCUAAUACCGCAUAAUGUCGCAAGACCAAAGUGGGGGACCUUCGGGCCUCAUGCCAUCAGAUGUGCCCAGAUGGGAUUAGCUAGUAGGUGGGGUAACGGCUCACCUAGGCGACGAUCCCUAGCUGGUCUGAGAGGAUGACCAGCCACACUGGAACUGAGACACGGUCCAGACUCCUACGGGAGGCAGCAGUGGGGAAUAUUGCACAAUGGGCGCAAGCCUGAUGCAGCCAUGCCGCGUGUGUGAAGAAGGCCUUCGGGUUGUAAAGCACUUUCAGCGGGGAGGAAGGCGAUAAGGUUAAUAACCUUGUCGAUUGACGUUACCCGCAGAAGAAGCACCGGCUAACU
RNAcentral lists this ribosomal RNA (451 nucleotides) under Gammaproteobacteria bacterium. Its description in RNAcentral is "bacterial SSU rRNA". It matches the Rfam family "Bacterial small subunit ribosomal RNA", at positions 60 to 502 of the family's 1533-position model. The record is from RNAcentral. Lineage: Bacteria; Pseudomonadati; Pseudomonadota; Gammaproteobacteria.